RNAcentral lists this ribosomal RNA (944 nucleotides) under Escherichia coli. RNAcentral's name for it is "partial 23S ribosomal RNA". It matches the Rfam family "Bacterial large subunit ribosomal RNA", at positions 1 to 976 of the family's 2925-position model. Lineage: Bacteria; Pseudomonadati; Pseudomonadota; Gammaproteobacteria; Enterobacterales; Enterobacteriaceae. The record is from RNAcentral.
GGGUUGUGAGGUUAAGCGACUAAGCGUACACGGUGGAUGCCCUGGCAGUCAGAGGCGAUGAAGGACGUGCUAAUCUGCGAUAAGCGUCGGUAAGGUGAUAUGAACCGUUAUAACCGGCGAUUUCCGAAUGGGGAAACCCAGUGUGAUUCGUCACACUAUCAUUAACUGAAUCCAUAGGUUAAUGAGGCGAACCGGGGGAACUGAAACAUCUAAGUACCCCGAGGAAAAGAAAUCAACCGAGAUUCCCCCAGUAGCGGCGAGCGAACGGGGAGCAGCCCAGAGCCUGAAUCAGUGUGUGUGUUAGUGGAAGCGUCUGGAAAGGCGCGCGAUACAGGGUGACAGCCCCGUACACAAAAAUGCACAUGCUGUGAGCUCGAUGAGUAGGGCGGGACACGUGGUAUCCUGUCUGAAUAUGGGGGGACCAUCCUCCAAGGCUAAAUACUCCUGACUGACCGAUAGUGAACCAGUACCGUGAGGGAAAGGCGAAAAGAACCCCGGCGAGGGGAGUGAAAAAGAACCUGAAACCGUGUACGUACAAGCAGUGGGAGCACGCUUAGGCGUGUGACUGCGUACCUUUUGUAUAAUGGGUCAGCGACUUAUAUUCUGUAGCAAGGUUAACCGAAUAGGGGAGCCGAAGGGAAACCGAGUCUUAACUGGGCGUUAAGUUGCAGGGUAUAGACCCGAAACCCGGUGAUCUAGCCAUGGGCAGGUUGAAGGUUGGGUAACACUAACUGGAGGACCGAACCGACUAAUGUUGAAAAAUUAGCGGAUGACUUGUGGCUGGGGGUGAAAGGCCAAUCAAACCGGGAGAUAGCUGGUUCUCCCCGAAAGCUAUUUAGGUAGCGCCUCGUGAAUUCAUCUCCGGGGGUAGAGCACUGUUUCGGCAAGGGGGUCAUCCCGACUUACCAACCCGAUGCAAACUGCGAAUACCGGAGAAUGUUAUC